RNAcentral lists this ribosomal RNA (911 nucleotides) under uncultured marine bacterium. RNAcentral's name for it is "bacterial SSU rRNA". It matches the Rfam family "Bacterial small subunit ribosomal RNA", at positions 8 to 916 of the family's 1533-position model. The record is from RNAcentral.
AGAGUUUGAUCAUGGCUCAGAUUGAACGCUGGCGGCAGGCCUAACACAUGCAAGUCGAACGGUAACAUUUCUAGCUUGCUAGAAGAUGACGAGUGGCGGACGGGUGAGUAAUGCUUGGGAACUUGCCUUUGCGAGGGGGAUAACAGUUGGAAACGACUGCUAAUACCGCAUAAUGUCUUCGGACCAAACGGGGCUUYGGCUCCGGCGCAAAGAGAGGCCCAAGUGAGAUUAGCUAGUUGGUAAGGUAACGGCUUACCAAGGCGACGAUCUCUAGCUGUUCUGAGAGGAAGAUCAGCCACACUGGGACUGAGACACGGCCCAGACUCCUACGGGAGGCAGCAGUGGGGAAUAUUGCACAAUGGGGGAAACCCUGAUGCAGCCAUGCCGCGUGUGUGAAGAAGGCCUUCGGGUUGUAAAGCACUUUCAGUUGUGAGGAAAAGUUAGUAGUUAAUACCUGCUAGCCGUGACGUUAACAACAGAAGAAGCACCGGCUAACUCCGUGCCAGCAGCCGCGGUAAUACGGAGGGUGCGAGCGUUAAUCGGAAUUACUGGGCGUAAAGCGCACGCAGGCGGUUUGUUAAGCUAGAUGUGAAAGCCCCGGGCUCAACCUGGGAUGGUCAUUUAGAACUGGCAGACUAGAGUCUUGGAGAGGGGAGUGGAAUUCCAGGUGUAGCGGUGAAAUGCGUAGAUAUCUGGAGGAACAUCAGUGGCGAAGGCGACUCCCUGGCCAAAGACUGACGCUCAUGUGCGAAAGUGUGGGUAGCGAACAGGAUUAGAUACCCUGGUAGUCCACACCGUAAACGCUGUCUACUAGCUGUGUGUGCCUUUAAGGCGUGCGUAGCGAAGCUAACGCGUUAAGUAGACCGCCUGGGGAGUACGGCCGCAAGGUUAAAACUCAAAGGAAUUGACGG